AUUGAACGCUGGCGGCAGGCCUAACACAUGCAAGUCGAACGAGUGGCGGACGGGUGAGUAAUGUCUGGUAAACUGCCUGAUGGAGGGGGAUAACUACUGGAAACGGUAGCUAAUACCGCAUACCAUCAGAUGUGCCCAUAUGGGAUUAGCUUGUUGGUGGGGUAAUGGCUCACCAAGGCGACGAUCCCUAGCUGGUCUGAGAGGAUGACCGGCCACACUGGACCUAGGACACGGUCCAGACUCCUACGGGAGGCAGCGGUGGGAAAUAUUGCACAAUGGGCGCAAGCCUGAUGCGGCAAUGCCGCGUGUAUGAAGAAGGCCUUCGGGUUGUAAAGUACGUUCAGCGGGGAGGCGUUACCCGCAGAAGAAGCAACGGCUAACUCCGUGCCAGCAGCCGCGGUAAUAC
RNAcentral lists this ribosomal RNA (406 nucleotides) under uncultured bacterium. RNAcentral's name for it is "partial 16S ribosomal RNA". It matches the Rfam family "Bacterial small subunit ribosomal RNA", at positions 30 to 526 of the family's 1533-position model. The record is from RNAcentral.